GACGAACGCUGGCGGCGUGCUUAACACAUGCAAGUCGAACGGAAAGGCCCCUUUGGGGGUACUCGAGUGGCGAACGGGUGAGUAACACGUGAGUAACCUUCCCUUGACUUCGGGAUAACUUCAGGAAACUGGGGCUAAUACCGGAUAGGAAUCCUUGCUGCAUGGUGGGGGUUGGAAAGCUUCGGGCGUUUUGGAUGGACUCGCGGCUUAUCAGUUUGGUGGUGGGGUAGUGGCUUACCAAGGCUUUGACUGGUAGGCGGCCCGAGAGGGCGAACGGCCACCAUGGGAAUGAGAUACGGCCCCGACUCCUACGGGGGGGCGCAGUGGGGGAUAUUGGAACAUGGGCGGAAGCCUGAUGCAGCAACGCCGCGGGCGGGAUGACGGCCUUCGGGUUGGAAAACGCUUUCAGCAGGGGCGAAGCUUGUGGUGACGGUACCUGCAGAAGAAGCACCGGCUAACUACGUG
RNAcentral lists this ribosomal RNA (465 nucleotides) under uncultured bacterium. RNAcentral describes it as "partial 16S ribosomal RNA". It matches the Rfam family "Bacterial small subunit ribosomal RNA", at positions 28 to 507 of the family's 1533-position model. The record is from RNAcentral.